AACGCGAAGAACCUUACCUGGGCUUGAACUACGGAUGGUAAGCUGUUGGAAACAUCGGCUGACCCGCAAGGGAGUCCGCAGAGGUGCUGCAUGGUUGUCGUCAGCUCGUGUCGUGAGAUGUUGGGUUAAGUCCCGCAACGAGCGCAACCCCUAUUCGAUGUUGCUAAUCCCGCAAGGGAUGCACUCUUCGAAAACUGCCUUCGAUAAGAAGGAGGAAGGUGGGGACGACGUCAAAUCCUCAUGGCCCUUAUGUCCAGGGCUACACACGUGUUACAAUGGCCGGUACAAUGGGAAGCAAUGCCGCAAGGUGGAGCCAAACCCACAAAGCCGGCCCCAGUUCAGAUUGUGGGCUGCAACUCGCCCACAUGAAGGCGGAAUCGCUAGUAAUCGCUGAUCAGCAGGCAGCGGUGAAUACGUUCCCGGGCCUUGUA
This 431-nucleotide ribosomal RNA is filed under the name uncultured Elusimicrobium sp. Its description in RNAcentral is "bacterial SSU rRNA". It matches the Rfam family "Bacterial small subunit ribosomal RNA", at positions 958 to 1385 of the family's 1533-position model. The record is from RNAcentral. Lineage: Bacteria; Pseudomonadati; Elusimicrobiota; Elusimicrobia; Elusimicrobiales; Elusimicrobiaceae.